Molecule: ribosomal RNA, 468 nt
Filed under: uncultured bacterium
Lineage: Bacteria
Description: partial 16S ribosomal RNA
Rfam family: Bacterial small subunit ribosomal RNA
Source: RNAcentral
GACGAACGCUGGCGGCGUGCUUAAUACAUGCAAGUCGAACGGAAAGGCCCUGCUUUUGUGGGGCGCUCGAGUGGCGAACGGGGGAGUAACACGUGAGUAACCUGCCCUUGACUUUGGGAUAACUUCAGGAAACUGGGGCUAAUACCGGAUAGGAGCUCCUGCUGCACGGGGGGGGUUGGAAAGUUUCGGCGGUUGGGGAUGGACUCGCGGCUUAUCAGCUUGUUGGUGGGGUAGUGGCUUACCAAGGGUUUGACGGGUAGCCGGCCUGAGAGGGUGACCGGCGACAUUGGGACUGAGGUACGGCCCAGACUCCUACGGGAGGCAGCGGUGGGGAAUAUUGCAGAGUGGCCGGAAGCCUGAUACGACGGCCCCGCGUGCGGAAAAACGGCCUUCGAGUGAUAAACCGCUUUCGCCGGUGCCGAGCCCUGAGUGACGGUAAUUGAUAAGAAAGCCCCGGCUAACUACGUG